AAGACCAAGGGUUCCUGUCCAACGUUAAUCGGGGCAGGGUGAGUCGACCCCUAAGGCGAGGCCGAAAGGCGUAGUCGAUGGGAAACAGGUUAAUAUUCCUGUACUUGGUGUUACUGCGAAGGGGGGACGGAGAAGGCUAUGUUGGCCGGGCGACGGUUGUCCCGGUUUAAGCGUGUAGGCUGGUUUUCCAGGCAAAUCCGGAAAAUCAAGGCUGAGGCGUGAUGACGAGGCACUACGGUGCUGAAGC
This 247-nucleotide ribosomal RNA is filed under the name Escherichia coli. RNAcentral's name for it is "partial 23S ribosomal RNA". It matches the Rfam family "Bacterial large subunit ribosomal RNA", at positions 1341 to 1591 of the family's 2925-position model. The record is from RNAcentral. Lineage: Bacteria; Pseudomonadati; Pseudomonadota; Gammaproteobacteria; Enterobacterales; Enterobacteriaceae.